Molecule: ribosomal RNA, 254 nt
Filed under: uncultured Stichotrichia
Lineage: Eukaryota; Ciliophora; Spirotrichea
Description: partial Bacterial large subunit ribosomal RNA
Rfam family: Bacterial large subunit ribosomal RNA
Source: RNAcentral
GCGUAACAGCUCACUAGUCGAGCGAUUGGGCGUGGAUAAUAAUCGGGCAUAAAGUAUAUUACCGAAGCUGUGGGAUUUUAAAUCGGUAGGGGAGCAUUCUAGUUGCAUUGAAGGUGUAUCGUAAGGUAUGCUGGAGCGGCUAGAAAAGAAAAUGUAGGAAUAAGUAACGAUAAAGCAGGCGAGAAACCUGCUCACCAAUAGACUAAGGUUUCCUGAUCAACGCUAAUCGGAUCAGGGUUAGUCGGGACCUAAGG